RNAcentral lists this ribosomal RNA (400 nucleotides) under uncultured bacterium. RNAcentral's name for it is "bacterial SSU rRNA". It matches the Rfam family "Bacterial small subunit ribosomal RNA", at positions 355 to 772 of the family's 1533-position model. The record is from RNAcentral.
UGGGGAAUCUUGGACAAUGGGCGCAAGCCUGAUCCAGCCAUGCCGCGUGGAUGAUGAAGGCCCUAGGGUUGUAAAAUCCUUUCGUUGGGGACGAUAAUGACGGUACCCAAAGAAGAAGCUCCGGCUAACUUCGUGCCAGCAGCCGCGGUAAUACGAAGGGGGCUAGCGUUGUUCGGAUUUACUGGGCGUAAAGCGCGUGUAGGCGGGUCGUUAAGUUGGGGGUGAAAUCCCGAGGCUCAACCUCGGAACUGCCUUCAAAACUGGCGACCUGGACCCAAGUAGAGGCAAGUGGAAUUGCGAGUGUAGAGGUGAAAUUCGUAGAUAUUCGCAGGAACACCAGUGGCGAAGGCGACUUGCUGGACUUGUGGUGACGCUGAGACGCGAAAGCGUGGGGAGCAAA